This 429-nucleotide ribosomal RNA is filed under the name Chloroflexota bacterium. Its description in RNAcentral is "Chloroflexi bacterium partial 16S ribosomal RNA". It matches the Rfam family "Bacterial small subunit ribosomal RNA", at positions 355 to 776 of the family's 1533-position model. Lineage: Bacteria; Bacillati; Chloroflexota. The record is from RNAcentral.
UGGGGAAUAUUGCACAAUGGGCGCAAGCCUGAUGCAGCCAUGCCGCGUGUAUGAAGAAGGCCUUCGGGUUGUAAAGCACUUUCAGCGGGGAGGAAGGCGUUAAGGUUAAUAACCUUGGCGAUUGACGUUACCCGCAGAAGAAGCACCGGCUAACUCCGUGCCAGCAGCCGCGGUAAUACGGAGGGUGCAAGCGUUAAUCGGAAUUACUGGGCGUAAAGCGCACGCAGGCGGUCUGUCAAGUCGGAUGUGAAAUCCCCCGGCUCAACCUGGGAACUGCAUUCGAAACUGGCAGGCUAGAGUCUUGUAGAGGGGGGUAGAAUUCCAGGUGUAGCGGUGAAAUGCGUAGAGAUCUGGAGGAAUACCGGUGGCGAAGGCGGCCCCCUGGACAAAGACUGACGCUCAGGUGCGAAAGCGUGGGGAGCAAACAGG